Bos taurus (domestic cattle) is the source of this 73-nucleotide non-coding RNA. The record is from Rfam. Lineage: Eukaryota; Metazoa; Chordata; Mammalia; Artiodactyla; Bovidae.
UCCCUGGUGGUCCAGUGGUUAGGACUCCACACUUCCACUGCAGGGUGCAUGGGUUUGACCCCUGGUCAGGGAA